This 254-nucleotide ribosomal RNA is filed under the name uncultured bacterium. RNAcentral's name for it is "partial 16S ribosomal RNA". It matches the Rfam family "Bacterial small subunit ribosomal RNA", at positions 524 to 776 of the family's 1533-position model. The record is from RNAcentral.
UACGUAGGGCGCAAGCGUUAUCCGGAAUUAUUGGGCGUAAAGGGCGCGUAGGCGGCCAGCACAAGUCAGUUGUGAAAUCUCCGAGCUUAACUCGGAAAGGUCAACUGAUACUGUGCGGCUAGAGUGCGGAAGGGGCAACUGGAAUUCUUGGUGUAGCGGUGAAAUGCGUAGAUAUCAAGAGGAACACCUGCGGCGAAGGCGGGUUGCUGGGCCGACACUGACGCUGAGGCGCGAAAGCCAGGGGAGCGAACGGG